This 440-nucleotide ribosomal RNA is filed under the name uncultured bacterium. Its description in RNAcentral is "partial 16S ribosomal RNA". It matches the Rfam family "Bacterial small subunit ribosomal RNA", at positions 338 to 795 of the family's 1533-position model. The record is from RNAcentral.
CCUACGGGAGGCAGCAGUAGGGAAUAUUGCUCAAUGGGGGAAACCCUGAAGCAGCAACGCCGCGUGGAGGAUGAAGGUUUUCGGAUUGUAAACUCCUUUUGUUAGAGAAGAUAAUUACGGUAUCUAACGAAUAAGCACCGGCUAACUCCGUGCCAGCAGCCGCGGUCAUACGGAGGGUGCAAGCGUUACUCGGAAUCACUGGGCGUAAAGAGCGCGUAGGCGGGAUAGCAAGUCAGAUGUGAAAUCCUAUGGCUUAACCAUAGAACUGCAUUUGAUACUGUUAUGCUAGAGUAUGGGAGAGGUAGGUGGAAUUCUUGGUGUAGGGGUAAAAUCCGUAGAGAUCAAGAGGAAUACUCAUUGCGAAGGCGACCUGCUAGAACAUAACUGACGCUGAUGCGCGAAAGCGUGGGGAGCAAACAGGAUUAGAUACCCGGGUAGUC